GUACACUCCUGCGGGAGGCAGCAGUGGGGAAUUUUGGACAAUGGGCGAAAGCCUGAUCCAGCAAUGCCGCGUGAGUGAAGAAGGCCUUCGGGUUGUAAAGCUCUUUUGUCAGGGAAGAAACGGUGAAAGCUAAUAUCUUUUGCUAAUGACGGUACCUGAAGAAUAAGCACCGGCUAACUACGUGCCAGCAGCCGCGGUAAUACGUAGGGUGCAAGCGUUAAUCGGAAUUACUGGGCGUAAAGCGUGCGCAGGCGGUUUUGUAAGUCUGAUGUGAAAUCCCCGGGCUCAACCUGGGAAUUGCAUUGGAGACUGCAAGGCUAGAAUCUGGCAGAGGUGGGUAGAAUUCCACGUGUAGCAGUGAAAUGCGUAGAUAUGUGGAGGAACACCGAUGGCGAAGGCAGCCCCCUGGGUCAAGAUUGACGCUCAUGCACGAAAGCGUGGGGAGCAAACAGGAUUAGAAACCCGAGUAGUCCCAUGA
Molecule: ribosomal RNA, 478 nt
Filed under: uncultured organism
Description: partial 16S ribosomal RNA
Rfam family: Bacterial small subunit ribosomal RNA
Source: RNAcentral